Molecule: long non-coding RNA, 1998 nt
Organism: Prinia subflava (tawny-flanked prinia)
Lineage: Eukaryota; Metazoa; Chordata; Aves; Passeriformes; Cisticolidae
Exons: 3
Source: RefSeq, a predicted model, not a curated record
UUCACUCAAAAGUCUGCUUUACAGAUCUUAGGUCUGUACAUGGCAUCUGAUAGAAUUUCUGACCCUGUCUGUGACCUCUACACUGAGAGUGAUUUAUCUUCCUAAUGCAGAGGAACAUUAAUAUGAUGCAUUCUUUGGACCCUUUUCCUAAGGAGCCGGAGCCUUGACAUGACUACAUCCCAGUCUGCAUAGGCACCUUCCAAGUGACGUGUCACUUCUGAACAUGAUGGGUAGCUUUGACGACCAUGAAGCACACGCCAGUUAUCAAAUGUCACAAUGUCUCCUAUAAAGAGAUUGCACAAAGUGCACAGCAAAAUCACAGUAGUCCACCCCAACAUCAAUGUAGUUUACAGCAGUAGAGGACAGGAUCUGAUAUGCCUCAGGAUUUUGUUUCUUCAGCUUGUUGGAUACAUGAAAUCCAUCUACAACUUCACUUUCACCUCCUGCAGCUGUUUGCUUUAUACAAUGAAGAAACUGAACCUGGAAUGAAUUAACACCUCUUUAAAAAAAUAAAUAGCUUGCAUAUUUAACAAUUUAUGAGUAUCAGUUCUAUCACAUCUGUGGGGUUUUUUUUAUUCUGGUUGGGUGGGUGUUUUGUGGUGGGGUUUUUUUGUUUGUUUGUUUUUUGGGGGUUUUUUGGGGGUUUUUUUGGGUUUUGGGGGAGUUUUUGUUUGUUUUUGUUUUGGGGGUUUUUUUUGUUUGUUUGUUUUUGUUUUGUUUUGUUUUGUUUUUGGUGUUGUUUCGGGGUUUUUUCCAGUGACAGACUGAGUUCUCAUUUUGCAGUUUCACAACACUCUGCCACUAGUAUAACAAAGGUGGGAAAUUAAAACAGCAUGUUCAUAAAUCCAUCCUCUUUCUAAUGCUUGCAACCUGUGAGUCAGUGGCAAAGAGGCCUUGCUUCUUUUGAGUCCCUCUUUCUGGCAGUCACAUAAUUUUAAAUGCAUUUCAGUCACAUCUCAACAAGGCAUAUUAGCUUUGUCCUGAAACAACACCUGAUGCAAAUUAUCCACUCAAAGAGGUGAAGAAGCUGUCAGAGAAGGCCUGUCUCUGUGAUCAAGUAUCAUUAAGACAGUUUCAUUUCACUUUAGAAUGAAUUUGCCAAGGUGUAAGAUGGAGCAAAAAGCCUAAGCUGUGCUCUGGGUUGCACUGGUGUAAAUCUGAGCUGCUGACACAUGCAGUAAAACUCCCUGUGGCUCUAGAUAUCACACAAACUGUAACUGCUCAUCCUGCAAAUGACACGAAAUACACUCGCCCUAUCAAAUGUUUGUCACCUUUGUCAUUUGGCCCUUCCAUGAUGGUGAAUUAUUUCUGAGACCACUAGGAAAAAAAAAUAACCAAACCAUACAAAAAUCCCCCUACAACAACCAAAAGUGAGCAAACAAAUGAACAAAAAAAACCCACAAAAAAACCAACCAACCAAAAAAACCCACACAACUCCCCCAGACAAACAUACAAACCCACAAAAAUCCCCCAACCAACCAACCAAAAUAAAAUAAACAAAAAAUCCCAAAACCCAAAAAACCCCCAAAAACAUCAAAAACAAAAACCCCAACAAAAAACACCCCACAAAUACAAGAAGCUCAAACAAAUAAACAACAAAACCAAAAAGGCAGACAACUCACCAACCAAAAACCCAAACCAAACAAAAAUCCCCUCAGGAUGGGAAAGAGGACUGGAACAGGGUUUGUUCUUCUUACUAGCUAAUCUGCAGACCUUGGUGAUGGUGAUGAAGGGGGAAACUGAAGAUGUGGGCAGGGAAAAUGGCCCACUGAAGAGAACACUAGGCAACAAGUUCUAUUUUUUUGUGGCCCCAGCUGGCCUUGUGCAAGGUAAGCACAGCUUGGCCCAGCCAAGAAGGGCUGCAGAAAGUUAUGUUAUGGUCCUAGGAAAUCUUAAAUCAGGAUUUUUAUGGGACAGUUCUGAAAUUAAUCAUCAUCCUUUAAGAACAUGUCUAAAAGUUUGUAAUAAAUCACAGAAUCACUAGGUUGAAACAGACCU